This 1423-nucleotide ribosomal RNA is filed under the name Serratia sp. B-1112. Its description in RNAcentral is "bacterial SSU rRNA". It matches the Rfam family "Bacterial small subunit ribosomal RNA". Lineage: Bacteria; Pseudomonadati; Pseudomonadota; Gammaproteobacteria; Enterobacterales; Yersiniaceae. The record is from RNAcentral.
AUGCAAGUCGAGCGAACAGAUAAGGAGCUUGCUCCUUUGACGUUAGCGGCGGACGGGUGAGUAACACGUGGGUAACCUACCUAUAAGACUGGGAUAACUUCGGGAAACCGGAGCUAAUACCGGAUAACAUUUGGAACCGCAUGGUUCUAAAGUGAAAGAUGGUUUUGCUAUCACUUAUAGAUGGACCCGCGCCGUAUUAGCUAGUUGGUAAGGUAACGGCUUACCAAGGCGACGAUACGUAGCCGACCUGAGAGGGUGAUCGGCCACACUGGAACUGAGACACGGUCCAGACUCCUACGGGAGGCAGCAGUAGGGAAUCUUCCGCAAUGGGCGAAAGCCUGACGGAGCAACGCCGCGUGAGUGAUGAAGGGUUUCGGCUCGUAAAACUCUGUUAUUAGGGAAGAACAAACGUGUAAGUAACUGUGCACGUCUUGACGGUACCUAAUCAGAAAGCCACGGCUAACUACGUGCCAGCAGCCGCGGUAAUACGUAGGUGGCAAGCGUUAUCCGGAAUUAUUGGGCGUAAAGCGCGCGUAGGCGGUUUCUUAAGUCUGAUGUGAAAGCCCACGGCUCAAUCCGUGGAGGGUCAUUGGAAACUGGGAAACUUGAGUGCAGAAGAGGAAAGUGGAAUUCCAUGUGUAGCGGUGAAAUGCGCAGAGAUAUGGAGGAACACCAGUGGCGAAGGCGACUUUCUGGUCUGUAACUGACGCUGAUGUGCGAAAGCGUGGGGAUCAAACAGGAUUAGAUACCCUGGUAGUCCACGCCGUAAACGAUGAGUGCUAAGUGUUAGGGGGUUUCCGCCCCUUAGUGCUGCAGCUAACGCAUUAAGCACUCCGCCUGGGGAGUACGACCGCAAGGUUGAAACUCAAAGGAAUUGACGGGGACCCGCACAAGCGGUGGAGCAUGUGGUUUAAUUCGAAGCAACGCGAAGAACCUUACCAAAUCUUGACAUCCUUUGAAAACUCUAGAGAUAGAGCCUUCCCCUUCGGGGGACAAAGUGACAGGUGGUGCAUGGUUGUCGUCAGCUCGUGUCGUGAGAUGUUGGGUUAAGUCCCGCAACGAGCGCAACCCUUAAGCUUAGUUGCCAUCAUUAAGUUGGGCACUCUAGGUUGACUGCCGGUGACAAACCGGAGGAAGGUGGGGAUGACGUCAAAUCAUCAUGCCCCUUAUGAUUUGGGCUACACACGUGCUACAAUGGACAAUACAAAGGGCAGCUAAACCGCGAGGUCAUGCAAAUCCCAUAAAGUUGUUCUCAGUUCGGAUUGUAGUCUGCAACUCGACUACAUGAAGCUGGAAUCGCUAGUAAUCGUAGAUCAGCAUGCUACGGUGAAUACGUUCCCGGGUCUUGUACACACCGCCCGUCACACCACGAGAGUUUGUAACACCCGAAGCCGGUGGAGUAACCAUUUAUGGAGCUAGCCGU